UUUAUUUCAUAGAAAUAUAAUAGUAAGCUUUAAACCAGCUAUCUUUAAGAUUACGUUUUAGUUCAUUAUUUUUUAUUUUGAUUUUAUAAAUAUUUUAGGUUUUUUAUUAAGAUUAUUAAUUUAAUUUUAAAAUUUUUGUAAUAAUGAUAGAAUUAGUAUAUUUAUUUGUAUGAAAUUUUUACCUUGUGAACUUAUUAUAAGGAACUAGGCAAAAUAGAUUUCCGCCUGUUUAUCAAAAACAUGUCCUCUUGUUUAUAUUUUGAGGUCUGGCCUGCUCACUGAGCGUAUUUUUAAAGAGCCGCGGUAUUUUGACCGUGCAAAGGUAGCAUAAUCAUUAGUCUCUUAAUUAGUGGCUGGAAUGAAUGGCUUGACGAGAAAUCAACUGUCUCUUAAUAAAUUUUUGAAUUUAACUUUUGAGUCAAAAGGCUUAAAUUCUUCUUUAGGACGAGAAGACCCUAUAGAGCUUGACAUUUUACUUUUAUAUAGUUUUUUUUUUUGUCUUUCUAUAUUUAAUGAUGAUGUUUUGUUGGGGUGACAUGAAGAAUAGAUAAACUCUUCAUUAUUAUAUCAUUUAUUUAUGUUUGUUAUUUUGAAACAUAAUUUAUGAUCAUAAGAUUAAGUUACCUUAGGGAUAACAGCGUAAUUGUUUUUGAGAGCUCAUAUCGACAAAGCAGAUUGCGACCUCGAUGUUGGAUUAAGAAAAAUUUUGGGUGCAGGAGCCCAAUGAUUAGGUCUGUUCGACCUUUAAAUUCUUACAUGAUCUGAGUUCAGACCGGCGUGAGCCAGGUCGGUUUCUAUCCUAAGAUUGUUAAUCCAUAUUAGUACGAAAGGACCAUAUGGUUAAAAUAUUUUUUGUUAUAUUGAUUAAUAUUAAUUUAUUUA
Schistocerca gregaria is the source of this 882-nucleotide long non-coding RNA. RefSeq lists it as uncharacterized. The record is from RefSeq and is a predicted model, not a curated record. NCBI's taxonomy places the organism in Eukaryota, Metazoa, Arthropoda, Insecta, Orthoptera, Acrididae. The transcript is spliced from 2 exons.